Molecule: ribosomal RNA, 253 nt
Filed under: uncultured bacterium
Lineage: Bacteria
Description: partial 16S ribosomal RNA
Rfam family: Bacterial small subunit ribosomal RNA
Source: RNAcentral
UACGGAGGGUGCAAGCGUUAUCCGGAUUCACUGGGUUUAAAGGGAGCGUAGGUGGCUUUGUAAGUCAGUGGUGAAAUCUUAGAGCUCAACUCUAAAACUGCCAUUGAUACUGCUUAGCUUGAAUCACGUCGAGGUGGAUGGAAUAUUACAUGUAGCGGUGAAAUGCUUAGAUAUGUAAUAGAACACCGAUUGCGAAGGCAGUUCACUAGGCGUGUAUUGACACUGAGGCUUGAAAGCGUGGGGAUCAAACAGG